This 336-nucleotide unclassified non-coding RNA is filed under the name soil metagenome. RNAcentral's name for it is "partial contains 5.8S ribosomal RNA, internal transcribed spacer 2, and large subunit ribosomal RNA". The stretch from base 3 to 120 matches the Rfam family "5.8S ribosomal RNA", at positions 37 to 154 of the family's 154-position model. The record is from RNAcentral.
GCUGAAGAACGCAGCGAAAUGCGAUAAGUAAUGUGAAUUGCAGAAUUCAGUGAAUCAUCGAAUCUUUGAACGCACAUUGCGCCCGCCAGUAUUCUGGCGGGCAUGCCUGUUCGAGCGUCAUUUCAACCAUCAAGCCCCAGGCUUGUGUUGGGGACCUGCGGCUGCCGCAGGCCCUGAAAACCAGUGGCGGGCUCGCUGUCACACCGGGCGUAGUAGAUUUUAUCUCGCUCAGGGCGUGCUGCGGGUUCCGGCCGUUAAAAAGCCUUUUUUACCCAAGGUUGACCUCGGAUCAGGUAGGAAGACCCGCUGAACUUAAGCAUAUCAAUAAGCGGAGGA